This is an RNA transcript of Oncorhynchus kisutch (coho salmon), 14304 nucleotides long. It is a transcript of the gene named vacuolar protein sorting-associated protein 13A, with no coding region annotated. The record is from RefSeq and is a predicted model, not a curated record. Lineage: Eukaryota; Metazoa; Chordata; Actinopteri; Salmoniformes; Salmonidae. The transcript has 69 exons.
UUUUGGAAUCGACUCCCCACCACUACUCUACUGACGCAACCAAAUGCUUGAGAAACAGGACUAGGCGCGACAGGUAGCUAGCUAGUCAAGAGAAACUUAAUGUAAACAACUUAACAUGGUGACCGAGAGGUGAACGACAUAGCAACAUGGUAUUCGAAAGCGUGGUGGUAGAUGUCCUAAACAGGUUUCUGGGGGACUACGUUGUGAACCUUGACACCUCACAACUCAAGCUCGGGAUUUGGGGAGGUGAUGCUGUGCUCAGAAAUCUUGAAAUAAAGGAAAAUGCCUUGAGUCAACUUGACAUUCCUUUUAAAGUAAGAGCCGGACAUAUAGGACGUUUGGAGCUGAAGAUUCCAUGGAAGAAUCUGUACACCCAGUCAGUGGAAGCUACACUGGAUGGAGUUUACCUGCUCAUCGUGCCCACAGCCAGUAUAAAGUAUGAUGCAGAGAAGGAGGAGAAACAGCUCCAGGAGGCUCGUCAGAGGGAGCUGCAGAGGAUCGAAGAGACCAAACAGAAAGCAGCGGAACAAGAAAACCCAGCACUUGAGAAACAAGACACCUUUGUGGAGAAACUGGUGACACAGGUGAUCAAGAACCUUCAGGUGAAGAUCUCCAACAUCCACAUCCGCUAUGAGGAUGACGUCACCAAUCCCAAAUGCCCAUUAUCAUUUGGAAUGUCUCUACAGAACCUCAGCCUUCAGACCGCAGAUGAGAACUGGAAACCUUGUCUUCUGAAUGAGAAAGCCAAGCUGUUUUUCAAGCUUGUCCAGUUGGACAAUCUCUUUGCCUACUGGAAUGUGAACUCAAUGCUGUACUCCAAUCACAUGCCAGACGAGGCCCUGCGAUGCCUCCAGAACAGCAUGGAUAUCUACAGUUCCACCCCCAUGAAACACGAUUUCAUUUUUCGUCCGAUAACGGCCAAUGCGAAGCUGAGCAUGAACCCCCGGUCAGACGUAAACUUCUCUUCACCCAAGGUAGACUUGGUAGUCAACCUGAGAGAGGUAGCCGUGGAGCUGAACAGGCCACAGUAUAUCAGCAUUCUGGAGCUCCUGGGCUCGGUGGAUAUGAUGUCACGCAACCUGCCGUACAGGAAAUACCGGCCGCAAUUCCACGUGCACACCAACGCCUACAUAUGGUGGCAGUAUGUGAUUAUGGGCAUCAUGGAGGUGGACGUGAAGCCACGGCUGCACAUGUGGUCGUGGCAGCGCAUCCACCGCCACCGGCAGACAGUCAAGUGUUACAGAGCGCUCUACAAGUCCAAGAUCACCAACAAGAAGCCCACUGAGAAGCUGCUCAGGGAAGUGGAGGAGACUGAGCGGACUCUGGAUAUUUUUAACAUCACGCUGGCCAGGCAGCAAGCUGAGAUGGAGGCGAGCAAGGCGGGUCUGCGUAUCUUUCGUCCGGGGGUGAAGGUGGAGGAGGAAUCUCAGGGCUGGUUGGGCUGGAUGUGGUCCGGCUGGUCAGGAGAUGACGGCGCCAAGUCCAAGGAGGUCAAGACCGGAGCUUUUGGUGAGCUUAUGACUCCUGCCGAGAAGGCCAAACUCUACACCGCCAUUGGCUACAGUGAGGUAGCUGUCAAUCACAACCUGCCAAAGAACUUUGAGGACAUAAAGAUACAUUUUCACAUGAAGAGGAUGUCUUUCUCAAUGAAAGACAACAAGGAUCAGAAUGAAAUCCUCAAGGUCACAGUUGAAGACCUGAAAUCCAUGCUGACCCAGAGGCCCGGAGCACAAGCCAUUAAGCUGUCGGCCCAGCUUAGUCUGUUUGAGGUGAAAGGACUGGCCAAUAAUCGGCCGGCGCCCACGCUGCUGUCGUCGAGGAAGGCUGCCACGGUAACAGGGACCCCCCUGCUUGACAUCCUGUUUGAGACCAACCCUCUGGAUGAGAGUGCUGACCAGCGGCUCCACGUCGAGUCCCAGCCUCUGGAGAUCAUCUAUGACGCUGUGACGGUGAACAGCAUGUCUGCGUUCUUCUUGCCGCCUGAUGACCUCCAGCUAGACGAGCUGACCAACGCCACUCUCAUGAAGCUGGAACAGUUCCGAGACCGCACCUCCACAGGGCUGAUGUACGUGAUUGAGACCCAGAAGGUUCUGGAUCUGAACGUCAACCUCAUGGCCUCCUACGUGAUCGUGCCCCAAACCGGCUUCUACGACUCCACUCAGAACCUCAUGCUAUUGGACCUGGGUCACUUCAAGGUGUCUAGUCUGAGCAGAAAGGGGCUACCCCAGCUCUCUGUAGGGAGCAGGACUAUACAGGACAUCAUGUCCCAAGCCUACGACAGCUUCAACAUCAAGCUCAGCAGCCUACAGUUCCUCUACAGCAAACCAGACGGGGACUGGAGGAAAGCCCGUAAGCUGAAGCAAUCGGCCCUCCACAUCCUGGAGCCUGUUGAUGUCAAGGUGGUGUUCAGCAGAGCCAUGGUGGUCACAGACUCACGCAUGCCCAAGUUUAAGAUCUUCGGGGAGAUGCCUCUCUUGUCUCUGAGGAUCUCUGAUGAUAAGGUGCGGGCCGUGCUGGAGCUGAUUAACAGCAUCCCGCUGCCGGAGAGCAGGCCGGCCCCGCGCAGCACCAACACACACUCUACACCUAAGGCUCCAAAGCAGUCUUACACCCCUCAGCUAACCCCCAGGCAACCAACCAUGGCUGAACUGCGCAACUCCCUCAUAUGGGAAUCAGGCUCAGAGGAGGACCUGUUCUACGAUGCUCCCAGCUCUCCUAUAGGCGACAGUCCGUUCUUCCCCGACAACAUGCCCAGCCCCCUGCAACGCUCCGACUCGGUCAAGAGGAGAGGUCUGGUCAAGAAAGACCCCAAGAAGAACAUGACAGAGUUCCUCAUGACGUUUGAGAUCAACAAGCUGUCUGUUCAGCUGUGUCGUCUGUCUAGAGGCCAGGAGGUCACAGUGUUACACCUGGACGUCGAGCGUCUCGGCACCGAGCUAAAGAUUCGCACCUUCGACAUGACAUCUAACACCUUUCUACGCGAGAUCUGCCUAGAGUGCUCAGAGUAUAUGGAUUCAGAGGAGAAGAAAGUGCACCUGAUCACAACUCUAGACAACACAGAGGAGGACCUCCUCACAUUGGAGUACACUAAGGCUGAUAAGAACGGGCCAGAAUUCAAUUCUCAGUACAAGAACACUGAACAAACAGUAAAGGUGAACUUCUCAUCUCUGGAUGUACACCUGCACACGGAGGCUUUGCUCAACGCCAUGAACUUCCUGAACAGCCUCCUCCCCCCGACCAAGGAGGCGGUGCCUAGCAAGGAGGAGCUUCCCACAAUCGCAGAGGAGGACGAGGGAGAGGGGGAGGAGGGAGAGGGGGAGGAGGGCGAGAAGGAGGAAUCGGCCGUGGCAAAAAGAACAUCUUCUAAGAAGUCAAAGUUUGAGGACGUGGUGAAUUUGCACAUCAGAGCUGAUCUCAACUGUCUGAAGGUUUUCAUCCGAGGCCAUAGCCACAUGAUAGCAGAGAUCUGCAUUGAGGGCCUGGUGUCGGAGGUGCUGAUGAGGAGAAAGGCGGUGGAGGUUCUGGCCAACCUGAAGAACAUAGUCAUCCUGGACUGUGAUAAGGAGGCACUGUACAAGCAGUGUGUGUCCAUAGCUGAUAAGGAGGUGUUUGCUUUCCGCAUGGUGAACCACACGGACGCCACUGAGGGCGAUGCCUAUCUAGACAUGGGUAAAGUGGACACCAGCAUCACCCUGACAGUGGGCUGCAUCCAGGUCAUCUUCCUCAACAAGUUUGUCUCCUCCAUCCUGGCUUUCAUCAACAAUUUCCAGGCGGCCAAGGAGGCCCUGGCUGAGGUGACGGUGCAGGCAGCGGAAAAGGCAGCCACAGGGGUGAUGGAGCUGGCUGAGCGCAGCGUGCGCAUCUCUCUGGAUGUAGACUUCAAAGCUCCUCUUGUCUUCCUGCCGCAGUCGUCCUCCUCCACCAACGUCACUGUGGCUGACCUCGGUAUGGUCACGGUCAAGAACUGCUUUGCCUUGGUCGACUCCCAGACGCAUGUCAAGAUCCCUCCCAUCAUCGACACCAUGACCGUGGUCCUCAGUGACCUGAAGAUGUACAGAACCACCUUUGAGAAGGGGAGAUUUCAGGGGGAGAUCCAGGUUCUGAAGCCGGUCAAUCUGGACCUGUCCAUCCAGAGGAACCUGUCAGCCUCCUGGUACCACAGCAUCCCUGACAUAAAGAUCACUGCCCACCUCAAACCUAUGAAUCUGAUCCUGAGUCAGGAUGACAUGACGGUGGUGUUGAGGACUCUGGGUGAGAACAUGUCAGAGACGUCAGACGCUGCUUCCUCUCGUCCUCCUCCAUCUACAGUGGAUCACUCCGACACUGCCACUACCAAAGGCUCGCAGGGCACAGGAGGUACUGGUACUAUCUCCACCAGCGGCAACAUAGUGGUAACUGCUGCAGUGGUCGAGACCCAGAAGAGCACUAAGCUGAAGAACAUACUCAAAGUAGACUUCAAGUUUGACUCCAUGACUCUGGUCCUGUACAGCCCCAAUGGGACUGAGGUGCAGGUGUUGGACUCCAGGGAUGAUCAGCUGAUGCUGGCUGAGUUCACCUUGGGAACAAUCUCUACAUCUGUCCACAUGUUCUCAGACGGAUCCAUGAAGGCCUCCGUCAAACUCACAGACUGCCUGCUAGACGACAAGAGACGCAGAGUCAAGAAUAUCACUGCCAGGAUGAUGGCGAUUCGUCCGAGCGCUGAGAGGAACGUGAUGGUGGAGGUGAACUACAAUCAGGGGCGUGAAGGCACCUCUCUGGAGACGGUGGUGCAGGAUGUCUACCUCUGUGCCAGCAUGGAGUUCCUGCUCACCGUGGCCGACAUCUUCCUCAAGGCCAGCCAACAAGGUUUCUCCUCAGCCGCCCCCAAGAACAGCAGCACUAAACCCACAGUUACAGCCACCACAGCUUCCAAGGAACCUGCUCCAGUGGCAGUCAAGUCGGAGAUGAAUGUUCUGGUGAAGAACCCAGAGAUUGUCUUUGUGGCUGACCUGACGCGUGCCGACGCCCCAGCCCUGGUCAUGACCAUGGAGUGCGAGCUGGUGAUGAAGAGCAACCCGGAUGGUCAGCUGAUGACGGCAGUGGUCAAGGAACUGAAGGUAGUGGCCUGCCCCUUCCUGAGGGAGAAGAGGAGGAACAAGGAGACCACUGUGCUGCAGCCCUGCCAGGUGUUCUUCAAGAGCGCACAGUCCUCCACCUCCCCGCAGGCCAUGGAGGUCUCCAUCAAGGCACUGACACUCAAGGUGUCGCCCAUCAUCAUCAACACAGUGAUCACCAUCCAGUCGGUGCUGAGCCCGGCCGGUGCAGACAUUCCCCAGUCGGAGCUGGAGAGCCCCGUGCCCCCAGACCUGUGGGAGCGCCGGUCCUGGCGGGAUCUCAAGUUGUGGUUCCUGGAGGAGGAGGGUAAAGACGAGGAUGCCCAGUCCCUGGUCCGGCUGAUUCCCCAGGGUGAGUCCCUGCAGGUGGCCAUUUCCUCCAUCUGCCUGACCCUGGAGGCAGGGGUGGGCCACCGUACCGUCCCCAUGCUGCUGGCCAAGUCCUCCUUCCACGGGGAUGUCAAGAACUGGAGCACCCUCAUCAACCUGCACAGCCAGCUCAACCUGGAGGUUCACUACUUCAACGAGGUGAUGGGGGUGUGGGAGCCUCUGCUGGAGCCCCUAGAGGACGAUAUCAGAGACGGCUUCAGAUCCUGGACUCUGGGAUUAAAGAUGAAGAAGAAGCCAGUAAAAUACUCAGGUAUAUCAGAUGAAGUAGACUACAGCAUCCCAGACUACAAGACUAUCAUCAGCAUCAGCAGCAAGGACCAGCUCAACAUCACCCUCUCCAAGUGUGGACUGGGCAUGCUCAGUAACCUGGGAACGGCCUUUGCGGAGGCGGCCAAGCAGACAUCAGAGAGUUUCCAGGAGGACGAGGCGCCGUUCGUGGUGAAGAACCGUCUGGGUCUGACUGUGUCAGUGGUGUACAGUGAGAUGUUCUGCCCCCUGGGCUGUGAGGCCACAGAAAACCGUGUAGAGCUGCAGAACGGAGAGAGUGUCAACAUGGACUAUCGUCGCACCACCACCCACUCAGACCAGUUCUCUGCCAUGACCUCGCUGGUGGCCAAGGACUACUACAUACAGCCCACUCCGGCGGGCCACACUUCAGCCAGCAUGAUUCCGUUGAUUAAAGUGGGGCGUGGUAUGUACAGUGUCAUGCACAAAGUCUCUGGGGUCACCCGCUUCCUGGUCUGUCAGAUCUACUCUGUGCAGGGAAGCAAGCACAUCAAGAUCCGCUCUCCCUUCCAGAUCAUAAACCACUUUUCCAUCCCGUUCAGAGUGAUGGAGGGCUCCAUGUGUCUGGGGAUGUCAUUACCUACAGAGGAGUUCUGCGUGCCUCUCGACUCCUACAGGUCAAAGUUGAGCCUGCAGCCGGUAACCGAAGGAGACAAUCAAUAUGAUUCUUCCGAGGGCUUCAGCUACGAGUCAGUGAGUCAGCAGCCUGGCGCACGUGUACAGCAGACCUGUCAUCGACAUGGCAACAGCGCCAGCGUGCUAAUGGUCAACAUCGUACCUCUGAAAGACACAGUGACAUCACAACACACGGGAGUGGCCGGGGAGCACUUUGAUGAGCCCUACAUCCUGCACCUGUGGCCCUCCGUCCUGCUCCGGAACCUUCUACCCUACCCCAUCACCUAUCGCCUACAGGAUAGUGAAGAGCCCGCCCCCAUCACAUUGAUGGACGGCCACUCAGCAGAGCUUCACACCGCCGUCAUGGACCUGUCAAGCCUGGAACUCCGCCUCCUCAACUACCUGGGGCAGGAUUGGAAGGCCCACUAUGGUCUCCGUGGCGACCAGGACGAGAUCACCUUCAUUGUGUUCCACUCCCUGCGCGAUGAAGAUGAGGAGGUUAGGUUAGGGGAGGGUGGAGAAAGGAAGCGGGCAGAGCUGGACAUUGCGGUGCAUGUGAAGUACGAUGCGGGCCUGACUGAGGUGGCCAUCCAUUCUCCCUACUGGAUGGUGAAUAAGACUGGUCGCCUGCUACAAUACAAGGCCGACGACAUCCACCGCAAACACGCCAUGGACUAUGACAUGCCCCUGCUCUUCUCCUUCAAGCCACGCAACUUUCUGCACAACAACAAGGUGCGGCUGAUGAUCUCGGACAGCGAGCUGUCUGAUGAUUUCUCCCUGGAUACCGUGGGUAGCUAUGGUGAAGUGAAGUGCAAAGGGAGGCUCAAAGAUUACCUGAUUGGGGUGAAGAUUGACCCCAGCAGUUUCAGCCUGACCCGUAUCGUGAGCUUUGUGCCAUACUUCCUGUUGGUGAACAGGACCAAGCAUGUGAUCUGGGUGGGAGAGGAGGGCCAGGAACACUGGACCAAGGCCAAACCACACCAGGCAGCCAUCCCAUUCUGGCCCGAGAAGGACUCCAAGAAGCUCAAAAUCAAGGUAGAAGGCUGUCAGUCAACCCCUCAAACCAUGGACUUCACCAAACCAGAAAACUGCCUGUUGCUGCACCUAGACAACACUCUGGGCGGAGUCAUUGUGGACGUGAACCUAUCAGACCACUCGAUCAUUAUCCGUUUUUCGGACUACCACGAUGGAGCCGCCCCCUUCCUCAUCAUCAACCACACCCUGGAGCAGACGCUGGAGUUCUACCAGAGAUUGCGGAGAGACUCGUCAAAAUGCUUGGCAGACGAGCUGCUCGAACUCUCCUUCUCACUAGAGGAGACCCAGCGCAGCAGUCAGAAGGAGAAGGACAAGCUGAGCCCGGGGAAGGCGGUGUACUAUACCUGGGCUGAGCCCACCGGGUCACGCUCCCUGGCCUGGCAGUGUGGUAGCUACAGUGGCGAGCUGAAGAGUGAAGAGGACCUGCGGUUGGACGUGAAUGAGGAGGGUAAGCUGUACCUCAUCUCAUUCUACGAGGGCCUCCAGCGGGUGGCGCUGUUCACCGAGGACAGGCGGAUCUACAAGCUGCUGUGUGAGAGUGAGAAGGCCGAGCUGGCUGAACAGGAGAUCAUCCUCUCCCUGCAAGACGUGGGUGUCUCCCUAGUCAACAACAGCAACCACCAGGAGGUGUCCUUCAUUGGCAUUACCAGUUCAGACGUGGUGUGGGAGUUCAAGCCAAAGAAGAAGUCUCGCUGGAAACCCCUGAGUUUUAAAUAUGCAGCGCUGCUGGAGACCCACUUCAGAGAGUACACCGAGAGUGGAUCAGUGGACAACGCCAUCUUAGACCUGGAGAGCAACUUCCAGGUGUCUCUGACGCCAAAUAGGCAAGACAUGAGGAUGAUGAAGCCAUGUGAUGCUCCAAUCAGGAGGAACUUCCUUCCGGGGGUGAAGGUGGAGUACAGCGUAUCGGCCCGCCAGAGUGCCUACCGUGUCCAGAUCAACCGCAUACAGAUCCAGAAUCAGCUGCCUGGAGCAAUCUUUCCCUAUGUCUUCUACCCAAUAAAACUACCAAAGUCUGUCACCAUGGACUCAGAACCCAAACCUCUGACCGACAUCAGCAUUGUUACCAGGGCAGCCGGACACUCAGAUAUCUCCCGCAUCAAGUAUUUCAUGGUGCUGAUCCAGGAGAUGGACUUGAAGUUGGACCUGGGUUUCCUCUACGCCAUCUUGGAUCUGUUCACCCUGGAGAAUGCCAGCGUGAUGACAUCAGAGCAGAUGGUGGAGUUGUUUGAGAAGGACAUUAAGUAUCUGAAGACUGAGCUGAACAACAUCUCAGCCGCUGACACGUCCCCUAUCAGUCUCUAUGAGUACUUCCACAUCUCUCCCAUCAAGUUGCACCUGAGUUUGUCUUUGAGUUCUGGAGGAGAGGAUGGUAAUAAGGAGAAGAGGGAGACUGAGGUCAUCCCUGUCCAAUCCCUCAAUCUGCUGCUGAAGAGCAUCGGAGCAACCCUCACUGACGUGCAGGACGUCGUCUUCAAAUUGGCCUAUUUCGAGCUGACAUUCCAGUUUCGCACUCGCCAGCAACUACAAUGGGAGGUCAUCAGACACUACUCGAAGCAGGCGAUAAAGCAGAUGUAUGUGCUGGUAUUGGGCUUGGACGUGCUGGGAAACCCCUUUGGACUGAUCCGAGGUCUGUCUGAGGGAGUGGAGGCUUUCUUCUAUGAGCCCUAUCAGGGAGCUAUCCAGGGACCAGAGGAGUUUGUGGAGGGUAUGGCACUGGGGGUGAAGGCACUGGUUGGAGGAGCAGUGGGAGGCAUUGCGGGCGCUGCCUCCAGGAUAACAGGUGCCAUGGCGAAGGGUGUGGCUGCCAUGACGAUGGAUGAGGAAUACCAGCAGAAGAGACGAGAGGCUAUGAACAAGCAGCCCAGCGGCCUGAGAGAGGGCCUGACUCGUGGAGGCAAAGGACUGGUUUCUGGCUUCGUCAGUGGGAUCACAGGGAUUGUCACCAUGCCCAUUAGAGGUGCUCAGAAGGAGGGUGCGGCAGGCUUCUUUAAGGGUGUCGGGAAGGGGCUGGUGGGGGCUGUGGCCAGACCCACAGGAGGUAUCAUCGACAUGGCCAGCAGCACUUUCCAGGGCAUCAAGAGGGCAGCUGAGACGUCCCAGGAUGUGGAGAGUCUGCGUCCGCCUCGCUUCAUUCACGAGGACGGGGUCAUCCGACCAUAUAAGGAGAGAGAAGGCAUUGGCAGCCAGAUGCUACAGAAAAUUGAGAAUGGACAGUUCGCCAAGUACAGAUACUUUGCUCACGCCAAAGUAAACGAGUCAGAUUUCUUGAUGAUCACCAAAAGUGGAAUCUUUUUCGUGACCAAAGGCACAUUUGGGCAGCUUACCUGUGAGUGGCAGUAUCUGUUUGACGAGUUCACCAAGAAGCCCAUGAUCGUGGAGGGGAGGAGGCUUCGGAUAGAGGCAAAGGUAUCCUCAUCUGCCCAUUGUAGUGAUACACACACACAAAGUAAUACCCGAUACUACGUGAAUGAAACUCAUCUUAACCAAACUGCUUAUUAUAACCAUCUGAAUAAACCGCUCCCCAUUUGCAAAGGAGUAUCUCCCUCUAGCUGGAAAUGCCUGCGUAUGGAAUACCCCUUCACUCAUUUGCAUCCAAACAGUUUGUUCCUCUACAUUAUAUCAUAGUACGGCCCCCUAUUUCUCAGAAAUCAUGUGUUAUCUAAAAAAAAAACGAAUAAAAAAAAGACUUUCCUGUAUGUGUUUCAGGAGAGAGUAAAGUCUGUGUUUCAUGCCAAAGAGUGUGGGAAGAUUAUAAACUUCAAAAGUCCAGAAAUAGCCGAGUGGGUUCUUACCAAGCUGGAGGAUGCCAGGGAGAGUCUACACAAGUACUGACUGGUUACUCCAAUAGGGCCACCAACCAGCACUGAGACAUGGCAAAAGUACAACGUUGACUGAUAGUGUGUGUGUGUGUGCGCGCAAGGGUAGGGUGUGCCUCUGUCAGUAUACUACCUACUCACCCCCAGGUUAGACUUGCUCUUUCAUUCACACAGACACUCAUACACAGACACAGACACACACACACACACGGACUGUCUGGACAUCUUGCAGACACACAGGCUGCACUAGCUAACACUAUCACUGCUCCGGUUGUACACAGCCAUGUGGCAGAAAUAUCUCCUUGCACUUCCUUAAGCCAGUUUGGUCUGCCAGCGGUUGUAGAAGAGGCUGCGGGUGGGAGUAUUCGAAGGCAGUAAACUACUCGCUGAUGUUCUCUGUGUCGUUGGCACAGGUGAAGUGGGAGUAAACAGUCUCUCUGUCUAGGUUCUGCUCCUGGUACAUAUUCAGGAUGAACUCCCUGGUUGCUUUAGGGUCAUUCUGUGUGCGUUUCUCUAUCAGAAGGCAAGUCAUGUCAGGUUGCAGUCCGUGUGUCUGUAAAACAAUGUGUUUGUAUGUGUGUCAAUGUCACUGCUAUGAUUGUACACAAUUAUGUGCCAGAAAUGUCUCCCUUUCCUAAAUAUGUUUGUUUUUUAGAUUUUCUUUGAAGAAGUAGGUGCCUGAGGGACUUUCCUAAUGGAGCUCUGUCAUCACACUACAAUUUGUUUGACAGUUACUGAAUGACGUGCUUGUAAAGAUAUUGUGGCCAAAUCAUUGUGGAACUCAGAGCACUGUUUUUAACUGCCUUGAUGUGUCUAUGUUAAACAAUUAUCUUACUGUUGACAUAGGAGGGGGAAAAGCAUUUAAACUUUUUGUAAAAUCAGCUUGUUAGCAGAGUCCAGUCCAAGAUGCUAAUGAUUCUGUUCCAAGACUCACCCUAUUCCAUUCCACCUCUUCCUAAAUCACUGUUGUUUUUCUACACAAUUCUGCAUGCAUUUUUUUAUGUUAAUCUGCUCUACAUUAAUUUCAGUGGAGUGUGUGGAUGUGUAUACUGAGUGUACAAAACAUUAAGAACACCUGCUCUUUCCAUGACAUAGACUGACCAGGUGAAUCCAGGUGAAAUGUAUGAUCCCUUAUUGAUGUAACUUGUUAAAUCCACUUCAAUCAGUGUAGAUGAAGGGGAGGAGACAGAUUAAAUAAGGAUUUUUAAGCCUUGAGACAUUGAUUGUGUAUGUGUGCCAUUCAGAGGGUGAAAUGGCGUGACAAAAGAUUUAAGUGCCUUUGAACAGGGUAUGGUAGUCGGUGCCAUGCCAGGGUCAAGUGCAAGUGCUGGUAAAAUGUUCUGCGCAUGUUGGAUUUUUUUACGUAGCUGCUGUCCAUGCCGCAUGUUCCAACUACUGCAUUCCAACCCUCAGUAGGCUAUUAAGCAUGAUUUCUUGUUAUUUUAUCAGGAGGGGGGGUUAGGCUACAUGUAGCUAUUUACAUGUUAUAGCCUACACAAAAGACAUGAUCAACAUGGUCAUACAAAGUUGUUUUCUAUUUUUUCUUUACUGUGAGCGGACCAAGUAAUUGGGCGUCACUCUAAAGCGGGAAGGUGGAAUAAACGAGUCAGGAGUAGGUUUUCUUGAUUGAACACAGUUCUCUAUUGAGGGCAUUUGGUCAACACAAACACUCCAACAUAAUCAAUGAAAAUCUUCCAAGGAAAAACAUACAUCUUCUCCAGAUGAAACAGGAACACAAUAGGCUUAUCUUUAAACUACAACAAAAAGUCACGGGAUUGUCACCGUCUUAGUGGUUCUUCCUGGAUAGCUCUCUCUCUCGGUGGCCAUCUUCCAGAGAUAGUUUUCCCCCCUCCCUCUCUGCUGGUUCCAUUCUCUCUCUUAUAGGGGAAGGAGAGUAUGUCAUUAGUACCGUCAGCUGUGCUUAAUUGCCUCUGGUUACCUUGUCUCCCAUGCCUUGUUGGGCUACUAUCUAUGAGCCCAGCCUGCCCUCUGGUGGUCCUUCCACAUUACUUUUCACUCCCUUUUCUCCCCAAUCGGUAGUUAGUCUCGUCCCAUCGCUGCAACUCCCCUACAGACUCGGGAGAGGCGAAGGUCGAGAGCCAUGUGUCCUCCGAAACACGACCCUGCCAAGCCACACUGCUCGCUUAACCAUGAAGCCAGCCGCACCAAUGUGUCGGAGUAAACACGGCCAAGUGGCAACCAUGUCAGCGUGCAGGCACCCGGCCCGCCACAGGAGUUGCUAGAGCGCGAUGGGACAAAGACAUCCCAGCCGGCCAGACCCUUCCCUAACCCGGACAAUUGUGUGCCGCCUCAUGGUUCUCCAGGUCGGCUGCGACACAGCCCGGGAUCAAACCCAAAUCUGUAGUGACGCCUCUAGCACUGCGAUGCAGGGCUUUACACGGAGCCCAAACCGGCUGCGCGUGUGCGCCAUCGUGCAUAAUUGUAUUUUGUCCCCCUACACCAAACGCGAUCAUGACACAGGUUAAAAUAUCAAAACAAACUCUGAACCAAUGACACUUAUAUGGUGAUUGGCAUCUACACGUUCAUAGUAUUACCAUGACAACCGGCAAAACAUUUAGUCUUUCAAUCACCCACGUGGGUAUAACCAAUGAGGAGAUGGCACAGUUGUCGAGCUGCCGUGUCUAUCGGCGCCAUAUCAAGCACAAGCAAGACACGCAGUCUUAUUGGCGAUUUAAUGUUAUUUUUUAAAUCAGAAUUGCAAACCUUGGCUAAGCAGGAGUCAGACAGGCAGUCUAAGUAGUAGUUAUUUUUCAGCAACUGGGUUUGCUGUGCAGGGUUUUCCAAACUCUGUGCACGUUUUGGUUUUUGCCCUAACACUACACAGCUGAUUCAAAUAAUCAACUAAUCAUCAAGCUUUGAUCAUUUCAAUCAGCUGUGUAGUCCUGAGGACCAAGUUUGGAAGGUGCUGGCGCUAGUGGCAACGAUAUGGCAGCAACCACAUCACCAAAACGCAGAUCGUUUUUGCCCCAAGUCAAUGUGUAGGGACUGCGUCCUGCUUGUGUGACUGCAUUAUCCAUUACAACAGAUGGAGAAGCUUGUAGCCUUCAUAAUGGCCUUGAAUGUUUGUUCAAAUCGCUGAAGGGUUUUAGUUGCAGCUGUUCAGGAAUAUCCGGCUACAUCAUGGUUCAGAAGACGGUGUGUAAAGUGAGGGAGGUGGAGUGAGCAGCAGCUACGUAGAAAACAUGUGUGCGUAAAAUAACACAUGCACAGAAUGUGAUCUGGAGCUUUUGAGAAAUAGGUUUCCAGAGGGGUGGGGGCAGAAACUCUGGAUUCGCAGCCAGGUCCUUUAAAAUCUAUGGGUGGGCUUGUGUCUCCUCAUUGGCAAUUUUCAUGUUUUUUAUGCAGCAGGUAUGCAGUGCCAUUAACGACAAGAGAGAUUUUAAAAUAUAAAUACAGUACCAGUCAAAAGUUUGGACACAACUUUUUUUUACUAUUUUCUACAUUGUAGAAUAAUAGUGAAGACAUCAAAACUAUGAAAUAAUACAUACGGAAUCAUGUAGUAAACACUAAAUUGUUAAACAAAUCAAAAUAUAUUUUAUAUUUCAUAUUCUUCAAAGUAGCCAAUCCUUGCCUUGACAGCUUUGCUUGUUGUAGAAACAUCCCAAGGAUGAUCAAUGGAAAUAGGAUGCACCGGAGCUCAAUUUUGAGUCUCAUUGCAAAGGGUCUGAAUAGUUAUGUAAAUAUGGUAUCUGUUUUUUCUUUUUAAUACAUUUGCAAACAUUUGUAAAAACAUGUUUUUUUGUGGGGGUUUUUCAUUAUGGGGUAUUGUGUGUAGAUCAAUAACUUUUUUUUUUUACAAAUAAAUCUAUAUCUGUCACACUUCAACUCAACAAAAUGUGAAAAAAAAAUUCAAGGUGGUGUAGAUCUAUAGGCACUGUAUAUGUCUAUCCCCCAGUUCUGCUUGACAUUUUUUUUACUGACACGCACCAAUAAAGAUUUUACAUCAAAUACAAUUUUAUUUGGCACAGUUUAAGGCAGGUAUGAAAUGUUUAUGUGCUAGCUCCCUCAAGAAUGCAGUACAUUAAUAAAUAAAAGUCUACAUUUAA